RNAcentral lists this microRNA precursor (117 nucleotides) under Paramuricea clavata. The record is from RNAcentral. Lineage: Eukaryota; Metazoa; Cnidaria; Anthozoa; Malacalcyonacea; Plexauridae.
AAUAACAUUUUGAUUUUUAAUCGACGUUUCGACUAGUUUGUAGUCAUCCUCGAGAUUGUUAAUCCUGAGGAUGACUACAAACUAGUCGAAACGUCGAUUAAAAAUCAAAAUGUUAUU